Molecule: non-coding RNA, 26 nt
Filed under: Cricetulus griseus (Chinese hamster)
Lineage: Eukaryota; Metazoa; Chordata; Mammalia; Rodentia; Cricetidae
Source: RNAcentral
CACCGGCAAGGAGAGACACCAAUAAG